CAGUCGCCGCGGGAAUACGUAGGGUGCGAGCGUUAAUCGGAAUUACUGGGCGUAAAGCGUGCGCAGGCGGUUGUGUAAGACAGGUAUGAAAUCCCCGGGCUUAACCUGGGAACUGCGCUUGUGACUGCACAGCUAGAGUAUGGCAGAGGGGGGUGGAAUUCCACGUGUAGCAGUGAAAUGCGUAGAGAUGUGGAGGAACACCGAUGGCGAAGGCAGCCCCCUGGGCCAAUACUGACGCUCAUGCACGAAAGCGUGGGGAGCAAACAGGAUUAGAUACCCCCGUAGUCCCUGUCUCUUAUAC
This 301-nucleotide ribosomal RNA is filed under the name uncultured bacterium. RNAcentral's name for it is "partial 16S ribosomal RNA". It matches the Rfam family "Bacterial small subunit ribosomal RNA", at positions 509 to 807 of the family's 1533-position model. The record is from RNAcentral.